This 468-nucleotide ribosomal RNA is filed under the name uncultured bacterium. Its description in RNAcentral is "partial 16S ribosomal RNA". It matches the Rfam family "Bacterial small subunit ribosomal RNA", at positions 28 to 507 of the family's 1533-position model. The record is from RNAcentral.
GACGAACGCUGGCGGCGUGCUUAACACAUGCAAGUCGAACGGAAAGGCCCUGCUUUUGUGGGGUGCUCGAGUGGCGAACGGGUGAGUAACACGUGAGUAACCUGCCCUUGACUUUGGGAUAACUUCAGGGAACUGGGGAUAAUACCGGAUAGGAGCUCCUGCUGCAUGGUGGGGGUUGGAAAGUUUCGGCGGUUGGGGAUGGACUCGCGGCUUAUCGGCUUGUUGGUGGGGUAGUGGCUUACCAAGGCUUUGACGGGUAGCCGGCCUGAGAGGGUGACCGGGGACCUGGGGCCUGAGAUACGGCGCAGACGGCUACGGGAGGCAGCAGUGGGGAAUAUUGCACAAUGGGCCGAAGCCUGAGGCGGCAGCGCCGCGGGCGGGAUGAUGGCUUUCGGGUUGUAAACCGCUUUCGCCUGUGACGAAGCGUGAGUGACGGUAAUGGGUAAAGAAGCACCGGCUAACUACGUG